CAAGGAAUUUUGGGCAAUGGGGGCAACCCUGACCCAGCGACGCCGCGUGGGGGAAGACGGCCUUCGGGUUGUAAACCCCUUUUCUUGGUGACGAAGGUGACGGUAGCCAAGGAAGAAGCCCCGGAUAACUACGUGCCAGCAGCCGCGGUAAUACGUAGGGGGCGAGCGUUGUCCGGAAUUACUGGGCGUAAAGCGCACGUAGGUGGUUGUCUAAGAUGGGUGUGAAAUCCCCGGGCUCACCUCGGGGGG
Molecule: ribosomal RNA, 249 nt
Filed under: uncultured organism
Description: partial 16S ribosomal RNA
Rfam family: Bacterial small subunit ribosomal RNA
Source: RNAcentral